Long non-coding RNA from Sander lucioperca (pikeperch), 163 nucleotides. RefSeq lists it as uncharacterized. NCBI's taxonomy places the organism in Eukaryota, Metazoa, Chordata, Actinopteri, Perciformes, Percidae. The record is from RefSeq and is a predicted model, not a curated record. The transcript is spliced from 2 exons.
CGGGCAACUUCCACAGAGACGACUCCACGAAGGUCAAUUUAACGCUGCAUUCAAGAUGCACUCGGAAGUCCGGAAAUCCCCCAAAAAAGUAGCUUAUAACUCCAACAAUUACAGGCCACUGGGAAUAUUUUAUGUAGUUUUAAGACGUUUUUUUGAACUACAA